AACGAACGCUGGCGGCAUGCCUAACACAUGCAAGUCGAACGAGACCUUCGGGUCUAGUGGCGCACGGGUGCGUAACGCGUGGGAACCUGCCCUUAGGUUCGGAAUAACUCCCCGAAAGGGGUGCUAAUACCGGAUAAUGUCUUCGGACCAAAGAUUUAUCGCCUUUGGAUGGGCCCGCGUUGUAUUAGCUAGUUGGUAGGGUAAAAGCCUACCAAGGCGACGAUCCAUAGCUGGUCUGAGAGGAUGAUCAGCCACACUGGGACUGAGACACGGCCCAGACUCCUACGGGAGGCAGCAGUGGGGAAUAUUGGACAAUGGGCGAAAGCCUGAUCCAGCGAUGCCGCGUGAGUGAUGAAGGCCUUGGGGUUGUAAAGCUCUUUUACCCGGGAUGAUAAUGACAGUACCGGGAGAAUAAGCUCCGGCUAACUCCGUG
RNAcentral lists this ribosomal RNA (433 nucleotides) under uncultured bacterium. Its description in RNAcentral is "partial 16S ribosomal RNA". It matches the Rfam family "Bacterial small subunit ribosomal RNA", at positions 29 to 507 of the family's 1533-position model. The record is from RNAcentral.